This is an RNA transcript of Oryza brachyantha (malo sina), 2593 nucleotides long. It is a transcript of the gene named pentatricopeptide repeat-containing protein At3g24000, mitochondrial, with no coding region annotated. The transcript has 3 exons. The record is from RefSeq and is a predicted model, not a curated record. NCBI's taxonomy places the organism in Eukaryota, Viridiplantae, Streptophyta, Magnoliopsida, Poales, Poaceae.
CCUCGACGCUCUACACCGAUCGACUUGGGCGUCCUCAUGCUGUGGGCCGGCGGCUGGCCAUGGGGCUGUCCCGCUGGCAGCCGGCCGCCGCGCCCCACGCCGUCACGUCUCGAAGUCCACGGCCUCGUUCCUUCUCGCCUUCUCUGAGGCAAAGCGUCGAGCACCACCCGUGUCCUUAUGACCUCCACCAUGAGAGAUCAGUGCCGCAGUCUUCUCCUCCUCGACCGCCUUCUCCGCCGCCGAGACGCCCUUCGACGCUGCGCCUCAGCGGCCGGCCUCACCUCCUGCGUCGAGGACACCCCCGUCCCCGCCGCCUCCACCGGCCUCCGCGGCACUCUCGAUCGCUUGGAUGCUGGCGAGCUCGCCGCCACCCAACGCCUCUAUCACUCGCUUAUCAUCGCCUGCGCGCAGUACAAGAGCCUGGGCGAUGCCAGGACGAUCCACGCCCACCUGGCCGGCUCCCAGCUCGCGGGCAGCGUCUUCCUGGAAAACUCGCUCAUCCACCUGUACUGCAAGUGCGGCGGUGUGGCCGACGCGCGACGGGUGUUCGACGAAAUGUCGAGGCGCGACAUGUGCUCUUGGACCUCUCUCAUUGCGGGGUAUACGCAGAACGACAUGCCCGAUGAGGCCCUUGGGCUGCUCCCUGGGAUGCUUAGAGGGCGAUUCAAGCCGAACAAUUUCACAUUUGCAAGUCUCCUCAAGGCAGCUGGUGCUAGCGCAAGCAGUGGUAUCGGGGAACAGAUCCAUGCACUCGCAGUGAAGUAUGACUGGCACGAUGAUGUCUAUGUUGGGACUACACUUCUUGACAUGUAUGCGAGGUGUGGAAGAAUGGAUUUGGCCAUUAAGGUGUUUGACCAGCUUGAAUCAAAGAAUGGGGUUUCUUGGAGCGUGUUGAUUGCUGGAUUUGCAAGAAAGGGAGAUGGAGAGACCACACUGUUAAAGUUUGCUGAGAUGCAGAGGAAUGGAUUUGAGGCAACACAUUUUACAUACUCAAGUGUGUUUACUGCCAUUGCUGGUAUAGGUGCACUUGAACAGGGUAAGUGGGUGCAUGCACACAUGAUUAAAUCUGGGCAGAAACUGAGUGCAUUUGUUGGGAACACAAUACUUGACAUGUAUGCAAAGUCAGGGAGCAUGACUGAUGCAAGGAAAAUUUUUGACCGUGUGGACGAGAAGGAUUUAGUUACUUGGAACUCAAUGCUCACAGCAUUUGCACAGUAUGGGCUUGGCAGAGAAGCAGUCACCCAUUUUGAAGAGAUGAGGAAAUGUGGCAUUCACCUGAACCAGAUUACUUUCGUUUCCAUUUUGACUGCUUGUAGCCAUGCAGGGCUGGUGAAGGAAGGCAAGAGGUACUUUUACUUGAUGAAGGAGUACAACUUGGAACCAGCGAUUGACCACUACGUGACGGUUGUUGAUCUCCUUGGCCGAGCUGGUUUACUGACUAAUGCUCUUGUCUUUAUAUUUAAAAUGCCCAUGAAGCCAACUGCUGCUGUUUGGGGAGCCUUGCUUGGGGCUUGUAGAAUGCAUAAGAAUGCCAAAAUAGGGCAAUUUGCAGCCGAUCAUGUAUUUGAACUUGACCCAGAUGACACUGGUCCACCUGUGUUGCUUUACAACAUAUAUGCUUCCACAGGCCAAUGGGAUGCUGCUGCUAGAGUGAGGAAGAUGAUGAAGGCAACUGGUGUGAAGAAGGAACCUGCGUGUAGUUGGGUGGAGAUAGAGAAUUCAGUGCACAUGUUUGUGGCAAAUGAUGACACCCAUCCAAGAUCAGAAGAGAUAUAUAAGAAGUGGGAGGAGAUAAGCAUACAGAUUAGGAAAGCAGGGUAUGCUCCUAACACAGAUUAUGUGCUUCUGCAUGUAGAUGAACGAGAGAGGCAGGCAAAUUUACAGUAUCACAGUGAGAAGAUAGCGCUCGCAUUUGCACUGAUCAACCUGCCUUCAGGGGCAACCAUUCGGAUCAUGAAGAAUAUUAGGAUAUGUGGGGAUUGCCAUUCUGCAUUCAAAUAUGUCUCCAAAGUUUUCAAGCGGGAGAUUGUUGUCAGGGAUACAAACAGAUUCCAUCAUUUCAGCAGUGGCUCUUGUUCAUGCGGAGAUUACUGGUGAUUUCGCUAAUCUCAGCAUUUUUCACAGCUAAUCAAGAUCAUUCAUGAGACCGUAGCUCUUGGACUCUGUUGUGGCAUAUGGGACUCUGUUUUGGAGUAUGGUGGUGCGUACAGUCUCUAGUUGGUUACACGUUUGAGAUGGAUUUGUUCCAGUAGUCCUCAGAAGUUAUCUCCUUCAUUUGCUCGUGGUCAUCGUAAGCAUCUGGGAAUAGGGAAUAGGCACAGGCAUCGCUAUUCAGCUACAGAACAGAAGGUUAUCAUGGAACGGGAGGAUGCAGCUCUGACCAUGACAAAGGAAUAAUACGACUGCGGACAAUCUUAUGCCAUCACAGCUAUAUACGGUAAUUUUCCGGACGAAACUUUUGUGAAAAAUGCAUGUUUGGCUACAAGAUUAUUUAUUGUGUUUUGUAUUGGCCUUGAAAGUUUGCCUCUCGAUUAAUGAACUUAGGUGGUGUUUGGGACAAGAGACUUAUUUUUAGUUACUUGUCCCAUCGAAU